UGUCCGGUGGUGUAAUGGUAGCACAACUCCCUUUGGAGGAGUUUGUCUUGGUUCGAAUCCAGGCCGGACAGCCA
Molecule: transfer RNA, 74 nt
Filed under: Gammaproteobacteria bacterium
Lineage: Bacteria; Pseudomonadati; Pseudomonadota; Gammaproteobacteria
Also listed under: 2 other names
Description: tRNA-Gln
Rfam family: tRNA
About the family: Transfer RNA (tRNA) molecules are approximately 80 nucleotides in length. Their secondary structure includes four short double-helical elements and three loops (D, anti-codon, and T loops).
Source: RNAcentral